UACGUAGGGACCAAGCGUUGUUCGGAUUUACUGGGCGUAAAGGGCGCGUAGGCGGCGUGGUAAGUCACUUGUGAAAUCUCUGAGCUUAACUCAGAACGGCCAAGUGAUACUGCUGUGCUAGAGUGCAGAAGGGGCAAUCGGAAUUCUUGGUGUAGCGGUGAAAUGCGUAGAUAUCAAGAGGAACACCUGAGGUGAAGACGGGCUGCUGGGCUGACACUGACGCUGAGGCGCGAAAGCCAGGGGAGCAAACGGG
This 253-nucleotide ribosomal RNA is filed under the name uncultured bacterium. RNAcentral describes it as "partial 16S ribosomal RNA". It matches the Rfam family "Bacterial small subunit ribosomal RNA", at positions 524 to 776 of the family's 1533-position model. The record is from RNAcentral.